RNAcentral lists this ribosomal RNA (402 nucleotides) under uncultured bacterium. RNAcentral describes it as "partial 16S ribosomal RNA". It matches the Rfam family "Archaeal small subunit ribosomal RNA", at positions 473 to 873 of the family's 1478-position model. The record is from RNAcentral.
ACACCGGCAGCUCAAGUGGUAGCCGCUUUUAUUGGGCCUAAAGCGUCCGUAGCCGGUCUGAUAAGUCUCUGGUGAAAUCCCACAGCUUAACUGUGGGAAUUGCUGGAGAUACUAUCAUGACUCGAGGUCGGGAGAGGCUGGAGGUACUCCCAGGGGAGGGGUGAAAUCCUGUAAUCCUGGGAGGACCACCUGUGGCGAAGGCGUCCAGCUGGAACGAACCUGACGGUGAGGGACGAAAGCCAGGGGCGCGAACCGGAUUAGAUACCCGGGUAGUCCUGGCCGUAAACGAUGUGGACUUGGUGUUGGGAUGGCUUCGAGCUGCCCCAGUGCCGAAGGGAAGCUGUUAAGUCCACCGCCUGGGAAGUACGGCCGCAAGGCUGAAACUUAAAUGAAUUGGCGGGG